GAUGAACGCUAGCUACAGGCUUAACACAUGCAAGUCGAGGGGUAGCAGGGUAGCAAUACCGCUGACGACCGGCGCACGGGUGAGUAACACGUAUCCAACCUUCCCAUAACUCUGGGAUAGCCUUUCGAAAGAAAGAUUAAUACCGGAUGGUACUUUUUCAAGGCAUCUUGAGAAAGUUAAAGAUUUAUUGGUUAUGGAUGGGGAUGCGUUCCAUUAGAUAGUUGGUGAGGUAACGGCUCACCAAGUCUUCGAUGGAUAGGGGUUCUGAGAGGAAGGUCCCCCACAUUGGUACUGAGACACGGACCAAACUCCUACGGGAGGCAGCAGUGAGGAAUAUUGGUCAAUGGGCGAGAGCCUGAACCAGCCAAGUAGCGUGAAGGAUGAAGGUCCUAUGGAUUGUAAACUUCUUUUAUAGUAGAAUAAAGUGACCCACGUGUGGGUUUUUGUAUGUAUACUAUGAAUAAGGAUCGGCUAACUCCGUGCCAGCAGCCGCGGUAAACUACGUA
This 506-nucleotide ribosomal RNA is filed under the name uncultured bacterium. RNAcentral's name for it is "bacterial SSU rRNA". It matches the Rfam family "Bacterial small subunit ribosomal RNA", at positions 28 to 529 of the family's 1533-position model. The record is from RNAcentral.